ACGAACGCUGGCGGCGUGCUUAACACAUGCAAGUCGAACGGUGAAGCGCCUUCCUUUUUGGUGGGUGUGGAUGAGUGGCGAACGGGUGAGUAACACGUGAGUAACCUGCCCCCUUCUUCUGGAUAACCGCAUGAAAGUGUGGCUAAUACGGGAUAUUCUGGGUCUGUCGCAUGAUGGGUCUGGGAAAGAUAUUGUUUCGGUGGGGGAUGGGCUCGCGGCCUAUCAGCUUGUUGGUGGGGUGAUGGCCUACCAAGGCGGUUACGGGUAGCCGGCCUGAGAGGGUGGACGGUCACACUGGGACUGAGACACGGCCCAGACUCCUACGGGAGGCAGCAGUGGGGAAUAUUGCACAAUGGGCGCAAGCCUGAUGCAGCGACGCCGCGUGAGGGAUGGAGGCCUUCGGGUUGUGAACCUCUUUCGCCAGUGAAGCAGGCCUGCCUCGUUUGUGGGUGGGUUGACGGUAGCUGGAUAAGAAGCGCCGGCUAACUACGUG
Molecule: ribosomal RNA, 493 nt
Filed under: uncultured bacterium
Lineage: Bacteria
Description: partial 16S ribosomal RNA
Rfam family: Bacterial small subunit ribosomal RNA
Source: RNAcentral